GUACAUCAGUUAAGGUCUGGUUCUAGAACAUCCAGACUCACUUGUGUAUUCCAACUUCCACUCUGAAUCUGCAGGGGAGAUGUGACGUGAAAUGAAAUGAUUUGUGCUUGCAGGCAAACAGCAGUCUCCUCAGUUAUCAGAAAAGCAGUGAAGUCCCACACUGAGGGGAUCCCUGUACACAAAAGCAGAUAGUAAGUCUCUGCAGGAGACCCCAUGGCAGGUACCUCAGAAGUUGCUGGAAGACCCCUCUGUGAAGGGAUUAUGCCAGGAAAAGAUCCAGAAGCCUGCAAUCCUUACAUUUUUGGUAAAAGCAGCAAAUGUCUAUACAUUAUUGUUGAAUCUUCCUGCUCUUUAUCAAGUCCUCCAGCUACAAAUUUUCAGCAAUAGCAUCAAAAAUUAAAAGCUUACUGUGAAACCUAUGAAAACACAGUUCAGCUGGAACCACAAUGAACCUUUUCUGCUUCCCUUGGAUUCAUCUGAAUUUGGUGAGCUUAAGCACUGUUGAACAAUUUUCCAAGGGAAGUUGAACGAGAUUCUUCCAGUCAUUGCACAAAAUGUGGUAAGAAUCUGAGAGUUACUUAAACUAAGAAUAGAUAAUAGGAAAAUAAUAUAUCACAAUAGAUGAGAUGCAGGUUAGAGCAAAGGUAUCACAUGUAUUUUCUAUUAAGUUACUGAAAUACCAAAUUAUAAAAUUAAAAGAGGCCCCAAAUACUUCUCUUCUGACAUGUUAAACCUGCAAGUUAGAGUGUAAUUUGCUGAUAGGUAACGAGAUUCUUAAAAACCUCAAUAUUCUCAACCAGUAACUUCAUUGCUAUUUAUUCAUUCUGAAGAAAAAUAUAAAAUUCAGAAAAUGGUCUUUGCACAGAGAUGCUUACCAUAGUGUUAGUUGUAACAGAAAGAAAAACAAUUUAAAUUUCCCCAAAUAGGAAACAAUUGAGAUGAUGCUAAAUCUCACAUAAAUAUUGUAUAAACAUAUUAUGAAAAGUUAAAUGAGAAAAUAUUUCCAGAUAGAGAAAAAAAUACAAAAUUAUAUGCAAAAUUUAUGUAUAUUAAGUAUAUACACAAAAUCAUGUAUAAAUUGUCAUUUCAACUAUGUAAAAUAAUCAUUGAAAAAAGCCUAAGAAGAAAUAUAUAGUUGUACCAUAUAAAGUUGCCGAUUUUUACCUAUAGAAGAACUAUUUCACAUGGUUCAAUCUGAUACUAACACAUGAAUAUCUUUGGAAAGUGAUAAAAUUUCCGGUAAUAUUCCAUGAAUUUUUGUAAUUUCCCACUUUUGCAGAAACAUAUUCAAUUUGUAUAAUUAUAAAAAGAAUUUUUAAUAAAUAGUCUAAAGAAACAUUUAUAAUUUAGGCAAAUGUUUUAAAAUUAGAUUUUCAUUUUUGGCAAUAUUACAAAUUUGAUACCCCAAAAAGCUUUGCACUAAAAUACAAUCCAAGAUACUUUAUAAAGUGUUUGGAAGAACUUUUUAAUGCACGGCUGAGCUGGCAACAGAGUAAGGAAAUCUCCAGCAGCCAAACAUGAAGCAAAAGCAUAAAUCCUGUGAGAGAAGCCUAUGACUGCUCUCAGGGCAUCUACGGAUUUCUGGAGAUCCAGAGAUUAGGUUUUAAUGGCCUCAUAGCAGGCACAGAACAAAUUUUAGUGUCCAUAUAGUGAAGGAGUCAGAUUAAAGACCUCCAUGUGAAGCCAAGACCCUACCUAUCCAAAAGAGCCACAACUUCAGUGAACAGCAAACUAGAGGGAAAUCUUACUUUACAAGGGGAACUUACCUAUUUUAACUUCAGCUCCAGGUGGAGAGAAAAACAAAGUUGUAGAAACAAAAUAGUUUUAGGCUGGGCGUGGUGGCUCAUGCUUGUAAUCCCAGCACUUUGGGAGGCCGAGGUGGGUAGAUCACCUGAGGUCAGGAGUUCAAGACCAGCCUGGCCAACAUGGUGAAACCCCGUCUCUACUAAAAAUACAAAAAUUAGCCAGGCAUGGAGGGCACCUGUAAUCCCAGCUACUUGGGAGGCUGAGGCAGGAGAAUCGCUUGAAUCCGGGUGGUGGAGUUUGCAGUGAGCUGAGAUCGCACCACUGCACUUAAGCCUGGGCAACAGAGUGAGACUCUGUCUCAAUAAAUAAAAAAGAAAAA
This is a long non-coding RNA of Homo sapiens (human), 2125 nucleotides long. Lineage: Eukaryota; Metazoa; Chordata; Mammalia; Primates; Hominidae. The record is from Ensembl.